This 491-nucleotide ribosomal RNA is filed under the name uncultured bacterium. RNAcentral describes it as "partial 16S ribosomal RNA". It matches the Rfam family "Bacterial small subunit ribosomal RNA", at positions 28 to 507 of the family's 1533-position model. The record is from RNAcentral.
GAUGAACGCUGGCUACAGGCUUAACACAUGCAAGUCGAGGAGAAACGACGGGGAAGCUUGCUUCCCCGGGCGUCGACCGGCGCACGGGUGAGUAACGCGUAUCCAACCUGCCUCUGACUGAGGGAUAACCCGUCGAAAGUCGGCCUAAUACCUCAUGGCAUCGUCUGCGGGCAUCCAACGACGAUUAAAGAUUUCAUCGGUCAGGGAUGGGGAUGCGUCUGAUUAGCUUGUUGGCGGGGUAACGGCCCACCAAGGCUACGAUCAGUAGGGGUUCUGAGAGGAAGGUCCCCCACAUUGGAACUGAGACACGGUCCAAACUCCUACGGGAGGCAGCAGUGAGGAAUAUUGGUCAAUGGGCGGGAGCCUGAACCAGCCAAGUAGCGUGCAGGAUGACGGCCCUAUGGGUUGUAAACUGCUUUUAUGCGGGGAUAAAGUGAGGGACGUGUCCUUCAUUGCAGGUACCGCAUGAAUAAGGACCGGCUAAUUCCGUG